GGUCAGCUGACACAUCCCUGCCAAUCUCCGGCAGACUCUCCCUCCCAGACCCUACUACUUCCUGGACAGCAUCCAUGUUGAAGGCAGCUUCAACAUGGAUGCUGUCCAGGAGGUGGGAGGGUCUGGGAAGGAGGGUCUGCCGGAGAUUGGCAGGGAUGUGUCAGCUG
Molecule: microRNA precursor, 167 nt
Filed under: Pelobates cultripes (western spadefoot toad)
Lineage: Eukaryota; Metazoa; Chordata; Amphibia; Anura; Pelobatidae
Source: RNAcentral